Prosopis cineraria is the source of this 419-nucleotide long non-coding RNA. RefSeq lists it as uncharacterized. NCBI's taxonomy places the organism in Eukaryota, Viridiplantae, Streptophyta, Magnoliopsida, Fabales, Fabaceae. The record is from RefSeq and is a predicted model, not a curated record. The transcript has 2 exons.
UUUACUUAAUAGUAUUAACUAUAGAUUUGUAUUAAGAUUGAGAUUAAGAAUUAUGUUAUAUUUUUAAUUCUAUUAUUAGAAUUAUUUUAUUAGUUUCAAAAAUUGAAACUAAUAUUUAUAAAUAAUAUGUUAUUUGUAGAUUGUAUUACUGGUGAAGAUUGUGGUGAGAGAGAAAUUUAAGGAAUAAUUUAUUGAAAAAGCCACAAGGAGAAGAGCCACGAGUGACACGUGGAGGAGUCCCAGAGGCUUAGUGGUAUAGAUCCACUGUCUCUUUUGGGUAUUUAAUUUAUGAUUUAUAAUGUGUUAUAUUGCCAAUAUUAGGGCUUUUUGUUUAUUGUCAAUUAUAUGAAUAUAUAAAUGUAAUCAUGCCUUUCAAACUAUUUCUAUUUUUAGUACAAUUUGGAUGACUGUAAUUUUAA